RNAcentral lists this ribosomal RNA (468 nucleotides) under uncultured bacterium. RNAcentral describes it as "partial 16S ribosomal RNA". It matches the Rfam family "Bacterial small subunit ribosomal RNA", at positions 29 to 507 of the family's 1533-position model. The record is from RNAcentral.
UACGAACGCUGGCGGCGUGCUUAACACAUGCAAGUCGAACGGAAAGGCCCUGCUUUUGUGGGGUGCUCGAGUGGCGAACGGGUGAGUAACACGUGAGUAACCUGCCCUUGACUUUGGGAUAACUUCAGGAAACUGGGGCUAAUACCGGAUAGGAGCUCCUGCUGCAUGGUGGGGGUUGGAAAGUUUCGGCGGUUGGGGAUGGACUCGCGGCUUAUCAGCUUGUUGGUGGGGUAGUGGCUUACCAAGGCUUUGACGGGUAGCCGGCCUGAGAGGGUGACCGGCCACAUUGGGACUGAGAUACGGCCCAGACUCCUACGGGAGGCAGCAGUGGGGAAUAUUGGACAAUGGGCGGAAGCCUGAUGCAGCAACGCCGCGUGCGGGAUGACGGCCUUCGGGUUGUAAACCGCUUUCGCCUGUGACGAAGCGUGAGUGACGGUAAUGGGUAAAGAAGCACCGGCUAACUACGUG